GGUGAGAUGUCCGAGAGGCUGAAGGAGCACGCCUGGAAAGUGUGUAUACGGCAACGUAUCGAUGGUUCGAAUCCCUCUCUCACCGCCA
RNAcentral lists this transfer RNA (88 nucleotides) under Proteus mirabilis. RNAcentral's name for it is "tRNA-Ser". It matches the Rfam family "tRNA". Rfam says of the family: Transfer RNA (tRNA) molecules are approximately 80 nucleotides in length. Their secondary structure includes four short double-helical elements and three loops (D, anti-codon, and T loops). Further hydrogen bonds mediate the characteristic L-shaped molecular structure. tRNAs have two regions of fundamental functional importance: the anti-codon, which is responsible for specific mRNA codon recognition, and the 3' end, to which the tRNAs corresponding amino acid is attached (by aminoacyl-tRNA synthetases). tRNAs cope with the degeneracy of the genetic code in two manners: having more than one tRNA (with a specific anti-codon) for a particular amino acid; and 'wobble' base-pairing, i.e. permitting non-standard base-pairing at the 3rd anti-codon position. Lineage: Bacteria; Pseudomonadati; Pseudomonadota; Gammaproteobacteria; Enterobacterales; Morganellaceae. The record is from RNAcentral.